Molecule: ribosomal RNA, 929 nt
Filed under: uncultured fungus
Lineage: Eukaryota; Fungi
Description: LSU rRNA
Rfam family: Eukaryotic large subunit ribosomal RNA
Source: RNAcentral
UAACGGCGCAGUGAAGCGGUAACAGCUCAAAUUUGAAAUCUGGCCUCACGGUCCGANUUGUAAUUUGUAGAGGAUGCUUCGAGCAUGGUCUGGCCUAAGUUCCUUGGAACAGGACGUCAUAGAGGGUGAGAAUCCCGUAUGCGGCCAGGUGCCUACGCUCAUGUGAAGCUCCUUCGACGAGUCGAGUUGUUUGGGAAUGCAGCUCAAAAUGGGUGGUAAAUUUCAUCUAAAGCUAAAUAUUGGCCAGAGACCGAUAGCGCACAAGUAGAGUGAUCGAAAGAUGAAAAGCACUUUGGAAAGAGAGUUAAACAGUACGUGAAAUUGUUGAAAGGGAAGCGCUUGCAACCAGACUUGCGCGCGGCCGAUCAUCCGGUGUUCUCACCGGUGCACUCGGCCGUGCUCAGGCCAGCAUCGGUUUUGGCGGCUGGAUAAAGGCCCUAGGAAUGUAGCUCCUCUCGGGGAGUGUUAUAGCCUAGGGUGCAAUGCAGCCUGCUGGGACCGAGGACCGCGCUUCGGCUAGGAUGCUGGCGUAAUGGUUGUAAGCGGCCCGUCUUGAAACACGGACCAAGGAGUCUAACAUCUAUGCGAGUGUUUGGGUGUCAAACCCAUACGCGUAAUGAAAGUGAACGGAGGUGAGAACCCUUAAGGGUGCAUCAUCGACCGGUCCUGAAGUUUACGGAAGGAUCUGAGUAAGAGCAUAGCUGUUGGGACCCGAAAGAUGGUGAACUAUGCCUGAAUAGGGUGAAGCCAGAGGAAACUCUGGUGGAGGCUCGCAGCGGUUCUGACGUGCAAAUCGAUCGUCAAAAUUUGGGUAUAGGGGGCGAAAGACUAAUCGAACCAUCUAGUAGCUGGUUCCUGCCGAAGUCUCCCUCAGGAUAGCAGUGUUGAAUUCAGUUUUUAUGAGGUAAAGCCAAAUGAUUAAAGGCCUU